RNAcentral lists this ribosomal RNA (429 nucleotides) under Bacillus amyloliquefaciens. RNAcentral describes it as "bacterial SSU rRNA". It matches the Rfam family "Bacterial small subunit ribosomal RNA", at positions 357 to 785 of the family's 1533-position model. The record is from RNAcentral. Lineage: Bacteria; Bacillati; Bacillota; Bacilli; Caryophanales; Bacillaceae.
GGGCAUCGCAUGGAGAAGUCUGACGGAGCACGCCGCGUGAGUGAUGAAGGUUUUCGGAUCGUAAAGCUCUGUUGUUAGGGAAGAACAAGUGCCGUUCAAAUAGGGCGGCACCUUGACGGUACCUAACCAGAAAGCCACGGCUAACUACGUGCCAGCAGCCGCGGUAAUACGUAGGUGGCAAGCGUUGUCCGGAAUUAUUGGGCGUAAAGGGCUCGCAGGCGGUUUCUUAAGUCUGAUGUGAAAGCCCCCGGCUCAACCGGGGAGGGUCAUUGGAAACUGGGGAACUUGAGUGCAGAAGAGGAGAGUGGAAUUCCACGUGUAGCGGUGAAAUGCGUAGAGAUGUGGAGGAACACCAGUGGCGAAGGCGACUCUCUGGUCUGUAACUGACGCUGAGGAGCGAAAGCGUGGGGAGCGAACAGGAUUAGAAAC